GAGGAUUAAGAGUAGAAUUCACUGCACUUGAUUGUAGCUGAGUAUCUUCCCAAACCAACAAUAGCUCCUCUGUAGAACGAACAAUCCUUUGAAAAACAUGACUCUUUCCAUUCCAUAAAUAAUUGUUCCUGUUGUUCCAUAAGGUCCAAAAAAUCAUACAUACUCUUCCCUGUAAAGAGGUAUUAGAUAAACCCAGUAUAAACUAAAAUAAAUCAGACAUGUUAGAAAUAGAUUGUAAGGGAAUAUGCAUAUCCACAAUCUGCAGUAGCUCUAGAUCAAAAAAGUAAAACAUGAGGAUCGUCUUCUACCAUGCCACACAUCUUACAACCUGAACUAACAUUCAAACCUCUAUCAAUUAGAUUCACAUUGGAAGGAAGGAUACCUCGUAAAGCUCACAACAUAAAGUUUCUAACCUUUGGUGGUACAUGCAACUUCCAUAACUUGUACCAUGAACCCUAGAUUCUCCUAAAGACCGGAUAAUAAAUGAUAACCUGAUUUAACAGAAUAUAUUCCAUUUUUUGUAUAGUGCCACACAAGAUUAUCAAUUUGCCUAGAGAAACUUAAAUGAAUAUGAGAAAUACAAUCCACAUCACUAGGCAAUAAGAGAUUAGAUAAUAAUUGUAGGUUCUAGCCUGUGCUAUUCUCAUUGAUCAAACUCGAGACCCUAAAAUCUUCCAAUCCCUCAAGACAUGGGCUGUCCACAAAAAAGCCAUUAUCCUUAUUAAGCCGUGGAUCACCCCAAACUUUGAUCAUUUGUCCAUUUCCUACUCUCCACCUGUUACCAAAAUUCAACAAAUCCUUGCCCUGCAAAAUACUCUUCAAGACAAAAUUUGGGUUAGACCCUUCAGUUGCAUCUAGAAAAUCCAUUCUAGGAAAAAAUUUAGCUUUGAGUAUACAAAAAUGAAAAUAGUCUUGAUUGGAAACUAAUCUCCAACCUUGCUUGAUAAGCAUAACUAAAUUAAAGAAUCUAAGAUUUCGAAAACCCAAACCUCCCUUAUCUUUACUAAGACACAUCUUAUCCCAUGAUAAUCAAUGAAUCCUUCUUUUAUCCUGACCUUGAGAACCCCACUAGAAGGAGUUUAUCAUCCUUUCCAAUUUGUCACAUAAGGAGACAGGUAUAACAAACAAACUCAUGACAUAGAAGGGAAUAGCUUGGGUUAUAGAUUUAAGUAAAAUUUCCUUAUCAGCUUCAGACAAAAUUUUGCCAUUCCAACAUUUAACCCGUUUCCAUAGUCUAUCUGUCACAGGCCCUAGUUUGUAAACGGGUAAGGGGUCUUUGGUCAGGUUGGAGGGAGGAAGAAGAAGGGUGUUUAUCCUUUUUUUCUACCUAUUUUGUAGACUUGAGAGAGAAUCUACAAUCUCUUGAGUUAAGUACUCAAAAACUGGGUUAAAUUUUUCUCCUUAUUCAAAAAACAGAAACAAACAUCUCCAAUUAAGGAGGGAUUAUCAACUAUCUUGAGGAUUAUCCUCCUAUUUCUACUCAACAAAAUAAAUAAAGAAUAAAAAUAUUAACAAGAAAAUAAUAACAGCAGCAGCACAAAUUAGUUGCCGGAUUUGUUCUUUACUCUCCAUUUGACUGAAUCUUCUUAGGUCCAUGGGUGAACCGUUUGUAGUGCUUAAGGCUAGUAACAUUACUCCCUCCGCUGACAUUGCGAUUGUCCUCAAUCGCGAAAUCUGGAAAUCGUUGAGACAAAUCAGCGUUAGUUUCCCAAGAAGCAUCUGCUGGUGAAGAAUGUUGCCAAUGAAUUAAAACUUCAGAUUUCCCAGCUCUGGUUUGAUGACCCAAAACUGCUUGAGGCUGAGGCAUUGCAGACACAGGUUCAAUGAGAGGAAGGGAAGGACGAUCAGUAGAGAACCCUGCAAUAUAAGCUUUUAAGGCAGACACAUGAAAUACAGGGUGGAUUCGAGCAUCUGUUGGUAAAUCCAAUUUGUAAGCCAUGGUUCCUACGCGCUGAAUGAUUCUAAAAGGGCCAUAAUAUUUCGGCAAAAGCUUCUGAUGACGCCUAUUGGCCAUUGAAACCUGUCUAUAGGGCUGUAGGCGAAGUAGGACCAUAUCCCCAACCUGAAAUUCCAGUGGACGGUGCUUUUUAUCAUAAACUGCCUUCAUUUUAGCUUGUGCCCGAAGUAGGUGCUGCCGAAUAGAACCCAAAACUUCAUCUCUGGUUUGGAGAGCUUGGUCAACUGCAUCAAUCAUUGAACUUCCAGGAGCAUAAGAUAGUAAACGGGGCGGCUGUCUACCAAAAACCACCUCAAAAGGAGUGGCAUGAAGUGAUGUGUGGUAACUAGUAUUGUAACAAUACUGUCCCCAAGAAAUCCAGUCCAUCCAUUUGGUUGGAUGUGCACUAGUGAAGCAUCGGAGAUACAUUUCAACUGUUCUAUUAACCACCUCGAACUGCCCAUCCGUUUGUGGGUGAUAAGCAGAACUAAAAGCAAGUUUAGUGCCACACAAACGAAACAAUUCAGCCCAAAAAGAGCUAGUAAAAGUUACAUCACGAUCGCUAACCAUGGACACCGGAAUCCCAUGUAUCUUGACAAUAUUAUCAAAAAACAGACGGGCAACACUCACAGCAGUAUAAGGAUGCGAAAGGGGCAAGAAAUGAGCAAACUUAGAGAAGCGAUCCACCACAACUAAUAGAACAUUUUUCCCUUUGGACAUGGGCAGCCCUUCGAUAAAAUCCAAAGAAAUAUCUGACCAAAUUUGGGAGGGAACUGAUAAUGGUUGUAGCAGCCCUGCAGGUAAAAGGUUUUCUGUUUUGUGACGCUGACAAAUGUCACAGGCACGGACAAAAUCACGCACAUGGGUCUUCAUCCCCUUCCAGUAAAAGUCUCUUGUAAUUCGAAACAAGGUCUUUUGAUACCCCUCAUGGCCCUGAUUAUGAAUGGCAGAAAUAAUAGCUUGAAUAGAUGGAGAAGAGGAAGGCAAAAAAACCUUGUUUUUGAAGAGCAGUAACCCAUCUGUUAGACACCAAGAAUUUGCAGCAGAGUUGUGCUGGACAAGAGAGACCCGCUGCUGAAUUUCGGAGGAAGUUUGAUGUUCACGUCUGAUUUCCUCAAAAAUUCCAACUUGUGGCAUUGAAAUGGCCAUAAGAGCAGCUGAAUCUUCUUCUCGUCGCAAUAAAGCAUCGGCCACUGUAUUCAAACGCCCAGACCUGUACUCAACUGUAAAAGAGAAACUCAAGAAUUUACUGAGCCAUUUCUGUUGGAUAGGGGAUAAUAGUUUUUGUUCUAACAAAAAUUUGAGACUGUAAUGGUCUGUGCGAAUAAGGAAGACACGUCCCCAUAGAUAAGAAUGCCAGUGUUUGACGGCUUUAACCAACCCAAUUAAUUCUUUCUCAUAAGCUGGAAGGGAGCGGUGCCUGGCUGCCAUCAUUCGACUGAAAUAGGCUACAGGUCUGCCAUUUUGCAAGAGGACAGCCCCUAUACCAGAAUCUGAGGCAUCACACUCCACAAUAAAGGGUUGAGCAAAAUCUGGAAGAGCUAAUACAGGGGUGGUAGUCAUCAAUUCCUUAAGCUUGUUGAAAGCUUGCACUGCUUCGUCUAUCCACUGAAAUGAUUUAUGUCGCAACAUGUUUGUAAGAGGAGCUGCAAUAAGUCCAUAAUUAUGAACAAACUUGCGGUAGUACCCUGUCAAACCCAAAAAACCACGAAGUCCUCUAACUGUUUUAGGCUGUGGCCAACUGAGCAUAGCCUGGAUUUUUGAUGGGUCUGCAUGUACACCUUCAGAAGAAAUCACAUGCCCCAAGUAUUCUAUCUGUGAUUGGGCAAAGGCACAUUUGGAUUUUUUUAAGAAUAACUGCUGAUUUUGCAGUACCUCAAAAACAAUCCGAAGGUGAUGGAGAUGCUCAAUCCAUGUUCUGCUAUAGACAAGGAUAUCGUCAAAAAAAACAAGAACAAACUUUCUUAGGUAUGGCUGAAAUACCUCGUUCAUAAGUGCCUGGAAAGUGGAUGGUGCAUUCGUAAGGCCGAAAGGCAUGACCAGGAAUUCAAAGUGGCCAUGGUGAGUGCGGAAUGCUGUUUUCUUGAUAUCUUGCAGAAACAUGAUAAUAGCCAGCAACUAGAUCCAACUUUGUGAAAUACCUUGCUCCUCCCAAUUCUUCAAAUAAUUCAUCUAUUACAGGAAUUGGGAACUUAUCUUUAACUGUAUGAGCAUUCAAUUCCCAGUAAUCCACACAAAGUCGCCAUGAACCGUCUGCUUUGGGAACAAGGAUUACAGGUGAUGAAAAAGGGGAUUGGCUAGGUCGAAUAAUUCCCUUCUUCAACAUCUCAGCACACUGUCUCUCGAUCUCAUCUUUCUGGCCAUGAGGGUACCUGUACGGCCGUACCACAACUGGUCUGGUGCCCGGUUCCAAAGGAAUUCGGUGAUCACAGAAGCGGCUUGGGGGAAGAGCUUUAGGUUCUUUGAAGAUGCCGGAGAAUUCGGUGAGAAGGUGUUGUAAUUGGGUUUCGACAUCCGGGAAGGAAGAGACUGAAUUUAGGCUUACGGGUUGUUUAAUGGCAAGAUUUUGGAUUCCCUGUAAUUCGAUAUUGGUGCCUGAAAUAGAGAAAGCCAUUCGCAUAAUAAAAAAAUACCAAAGAAUGGGUCCCAGAGUUUUUAACUAGCUGACUCCCAGUACCACAUCAAUACCGCUUAGAGGAAGGACAAAAAGGUCUAUUCCAAAAGGGUGGCCCCCCAUCUGUAACUCUGAAUUGCGACAAACACCAGAACUGAAUAUCUGUUCGCCGUUUGCAACUCGAACCCGAAGUCCGUCUUUCUUUUCAAUCUUCGGAUCCACCUGUUUAACAAUAUUGGCAGCCACGAAAUUGUGAGUACUACCAGAAUCUAUGAGAACGAGAACAGAUUUACCAUUCCAUUCAGCCAUCACACGCAUAGUUUGAGCAUUGUGGGUUCCUGUAAUCGCAUUCAAAGAGAUUUCUGGUGAUUCUUCGCCGGUGUCCAUGUCACUUUCACCAUCAUCAAGUUCAAUCCAAAAUAAUCUUUUGCAUUGAUGACCCCGAGAGAAGGGUUCAUCACAGUUAAAGCAAAGAUUUUUCUUUCGCCGUUCCUCCAUCUCUGCUGGACUCAACCGCCGAAUACUUCUGUUGCCCUUGGAUUCUAUAGGAGCCGUCACCGAACGAUUAGAAAACCGCGAUGGUAAUGGGGUUCUUUUCUCAUAUAACCGAGACAUGCUCAUAGCAGUCGCUAGAUCAGUUGGUUGAUGUAAUUCCACUUCCACUGCAAUGUGGUCUUUUAAGCCACUGAUGGUCUUUUGUUAGUUUUCCUGCUCGGGGAACUAGAAUCUCAAAUUGUGUCUAAUAAUCUGCCACUGAACCCACCUGCUUCAAUUUGGCUAACUCUCCCAGUUUAUUACUGCGGACUGGUGGUCCAAAUCAAAGGUUACACUGUUGUUUAAGCUCUUCCCAAGUGGGAUUUGGGUUUUCGUCGAAAAGCUCAUUCAGCCAAUACUGAGCAUUUCCCAUUAGAUGGUAAGAAGCUAGAGUAACCUUUUCCUCUUCCGGCGUGUUCUGGUGUUUGAAAAAAUGCUCACAUGGUUGCAGCCAGGCUAAGGGAUCCUCUUCGCCACUGAAUUUGGGAAAAUCCAGUUUACUGAAUUUUGGAAGGAUUGAUGAGCCUUCGAAUGUACCUGAAAUGCCUUUGUUUCUAGAAGGCCGAAUUUGACUGCUGGCCUCAACAUCUGGUCCAGAAUUAGAGUUAGAAACAUCACGGGCAAUGGCUUCUAAUUUUGCGUUCAUCUCAUCUUGCCGGUUCUUGUUGUUUGCUUGUUCUUCCAAGAACAUUGAAAGGAUUCGAUCCAGCUGUUGUUGAAUGGUUUCACCCAUUACACCUGGCUCUGAUACCAAGUUUUCACAAGCCCUGGUUGGAGGGAGGAAGAAGAAGGGUGUUUAUCCUUUUUUCUACCUAUUUUGUAGACUUGAGAGAGAAUCUACAAUCUCUUGAGUUAAGUACUCAAAAACUGGGUUAAAUUUUUCUCCUUAUUCAAAAAACAGAAACAAACAUCUCCAAUUAAGGAGGGAUUAUCAACUAUCUUGAGGAUUAUCCUCCUAUUUCUACUCAACAAAAUAAAUAAAAAAUAAAAAUAUUAACAAGAAAAUAAUAACGGCAGCAGCACAAAUUAGUUGCCGGAUUUGUUCUUUACUCUCCAUUUGACUGAAUCUUCUUAGGUCCAUGGGUGAACCGUUUGUAGUGCUUAAGGCUAUUAACACUAUCUUUAAAAAGAAAAAAAAAACGCUUUUUUUACUUCUACCAAUUAAAAAAGUCAAACCUAAAUAUCUCCCAUGAUCCAGAGGAUUAGUAACACCUAAAACUGAGCAAACAUAGGCUUUGUUGUCACUAGUGCAAUUGGAACUAAAGAAGAUACCUGAUUUGUUAAAAUUAAUGGCUUGACCAGAAGCACGCUCAUAAGUCACCAGGAUUUCAUUCACAUACCCACUUUCCAAAGCAUCUGCUUUAAAAAAUGAAAAACUAUUAUCAGCAAAUAACAGAUGUGAAACUGUAGAAGCCCUAGGACAUACCGUGUUCCAUAAAUUAAACCUCGUCGUUCAGCAUUGUGGAAAAGAGCUGAUAAGCCUUCUGAAUAUAAUAUAAAUAAAUAAGGGCUUAGAAG
This 6602-nucleotide long non-coding RNA is filed under the name Manihot esculenta (cassava). RNAcentral describes it as "long non-coding RNA (MESC_LNC006739)". Lineage: Eukaryota; Viridiplantae; Streptophyta; Magnoliopsida; Malpighiales; Euphorbiaceae. The record is from RNAcentral.